Molecule: ribosomal RNA, 404 nt
Filed under: uncultured Mycobacterium sp.
Lineage: Bacteria; Bacillati; Actinomycetota; Actinomycetes; Mycobacteriales; Mycobacteriaceae
Description: bacterial SSU rRNA
Rfam family: Bacterial small subunit ribosomal RNA
Source: RNAcentral
GGAAUAUUGCACAAUGGGCGCAAGCCUGAUGCAGCGACGCCGCGUGAGGGACGACGGCCUUCGGGUUGUAAACCUCUUUCAGCACAGACGAAGCGCAAGUGACGGUAUGUGCAGAAGAAGGACCGGCCAACUACGUGCCAGCAGCCGCGGUAAUACGUAGGGUCCGAGCGUUGUCCGGAAUUACUGGGCGUAAAGAGCUCGUAGGUGGUUUGUCGCGUUGUUCGUGAAAACUCACAGCUCAACUGUGGGCGUGCGGGCGAUACGGGCAGACUAGAGUACUGCAGGGGAGACUGGAAUUCCUGGUGUAGCGGUGGAAUGCGCAGAUAUCAGGAGGAACACCGGUGGCGAAGGCGGGUCUCUGGGCAGUAACUGACGCUGAGGAGCGAAAGCGUGGGGAGCGAACA